RNAcentral lists this ribosomal RNA (253 nucleotides) under uncultured bacterium. Its description in RNAcentral is "partial 16S ribosomal RNA". It matches the Rfam family "Bacterial small subunit ribosomal RNA", at positions 524 to 776 of the family's 1533-position model. The record is from RNAcentral.
UACGGAGGGUGCAAGCGUUAUCCGGAUUUACUGGGUUUAAAGGGUGCGUAGGUGGGUAAGUAAGUCAGUGGUGAAAUCUCCGGGCUUAACCCGGAAACUGCCAUUGAUACUAUUUGUCUUGAAUUUUGUUGAGGUAGGCGGAAUAAGUCAUGUAGCGGUGAAAUGCAUAGAUAUGACUUAGAACACCAAUUGCGAAGGCAGCUUGCUAAACAAACAUUGACGCUGAGGCACGAAAGCGUGGGGAUCAAACAGG